GAUGAGGUUCAAUUGUUUUGAAAUUAUAAAUAUCUCAUGACUAUCAUACCCUAACGGACAGUUUGAUGUGAAAUUUCCAUCUAUCCAUUGUUAGUUAACAUGCGUGCCUCCAGGUACGUUCUUGAACAUAUUGUUCCCUAUGGACUUAAAACUGCUCAGGUAAUGUGGGAAACAUAUUGACUUUUUUAAUCUCAACAACAACAACAACAACAAGUAACAUGGGUUGACGUUGAAAAUAAGGCAAGCCGUCCAAUUAGUGGUGGUGGGGGUUUUAACGGUGAAUUAAAUAACAUCCAUUGUUCGUUUACGCAAGAGUUUUUGAGAAAAUCCUUGCGUUCUGCGGUAAAAUGAAGGCAUUUUGUCAGAUUUAGCACUAAAAGUUUGUCGAGACAAAUUCUCGUCUCUAUCCAAAACACAUUUUUUCUACACCUCUGCGUGACCUUUGAGAGUAUACAUCCGCCCUGAGAAAUUUUAAAUUUCGCCCUCGAUUACGGUGAAUCAAAUCAGACAAAAUUAAAUGUGCUUUCAUACGUAUAUUUUAUCCAAUUUAUUCAUGCCUCGAGAUUGUAAUUACCUUCCAAAAUUAUUGACAUUCUUCCAUAAAUUCCAUGGAUAUUAUCUGUGAAAGUUCGAAUGAUUUUCAUUUCCUUGUUACAAAAUAUGCUCCCUGAAAGACUGGAAGCAAUCGAUCAGCGUUUUUUUGAUGGGAAAUGCCUUUUUUAUGUUUAAAGUGAUGGUCUCGUAAUACGAUUAAAUUUUCUAGGUCGAUGCGGAGACGAAGAAAAUCAUGACAUUUGAUGAAAUUCAGAGAAAAAGUAAAUCUCUAACAGAAUGGCUCCGCUUACAUGGGUAUGGGAGAGGUUGCACGGUCGGUCUACUGAGUAGAAACAGUUUAGAUUUUGCGUGGAUACUACUUGGAAUUUGGGAGAGUGGAGCUGUAUGUCAUCUCAUUGACUUCAGAUAUACUUUACGUGAGGUCAUCCAUGCCCUUGAAACAGCCCCUGUUGAUGUGCUUAUACUUCAGAGAGGAGUAUUUCAGACCCUAGCCUGCUCUGAGACUGAGCAAAUCAAGCAUAUUUUUGAAUUCGGCGAAGAAAAUGUUCCAUACAGUGAAGCUGCCACACCGCUUGAUACUAUCUUUAAAUUCGAAAUUAGUGUGGAUUGCAUGACCGAACCGAGCAAAGGCACUAAAAGUCCGGAAAUUGAGAAUGAACCAGACCCACUGGUUCUGAUUCUGAGCUCAAGUGGAACAACAGGACUUCCUAAAGGUGUUAUGCAUACGGAGGAUAGUAUUUUGCAGGCUUAGAACUCGGGUAAAUACCAUAAGAACAUAUUUUGCUACUUUGAAGAUAUAAAUAUGGUAAUUGAUAAGUUGGAGAAAAUUCAUCAUUAAUUGUCGCCCUCAAGUCAGGAGCAGUUCUCUUUAAUGACUUUAUUUUGUUAAGGCGUCUUCAAGUAAAUGUGUUUAACAAAGGACCGUAUCUUACCAAUCAAUGAUUCUAUUCUUUUUGAUGAUCUAUUUCAAUGAUCACUGAGACUGUUCAUGCUCCAAAGAUUAUAACGCGAGCUUUGGAAGCGCAAAAACCACUCGCCGAUAUAUAGAAUGGUCAAAAAAUAAAGAUUGAAAUUAAUAAUACAAAAUUAAUAAUGAAUGACACCGAAGUACAGAUAGAAGUAAUAUUUAAACGCCUUAUUGUACUUAUACAGUUCUAGCAAUAUUCUGGUCCAGAAUGAUGAUAAAACUAUCGGGUUAUUGCAUUUCAUCAUGUGUAUGGUCUCUCAGUCAUGCUCAAUUGCUUGUGUGCAGGCGCUUAAUGGUUGUGAUGCCUAAGUUCUCGCUGCCUUUUUGGAUUGUGACGAUUAAAACUUUUUCGGUGAGGAAUUUUGACCAAUGAUCACUUCAAGUUUUUAACUUAAGAGAUAAAAGAGAUACGAGGAGUAUUCGUAAAGUAAGUUAAUGUGUGUCUUAUCUUCUAAAUUAAUAAAGAUACUUUAAAUCUGUAAAAAGUUUGUGAAUUGCCAUACUCUCAGCUUUCUAAAAAGCUUCAGAUUUUAAAUUUGGUCUUCUGAGUGCCGAGUGACAUCAGUUUUCCCACAUCCGUCUCUCACCACCGCGUGUCAAAAAUUGACGCGCGCUGGAGAGGUCACAGGACGGUAGCAUGCGGCUUCAUCCUGCAAAUUGUCAAAAUGGAAUUUUUGUUUAAAAUUUAAAAUUUCCAUGUUUGUGAAGACUUGACU
Molecule: long non-coding RNA, 2238 nt
Filed under: Bemisia tabaci
Lineage: Eukaryota; Metazoa; Arthropoda; Insecta; Hemiptera; Aleyrodidae
Description: lncRNA ENSSWEETPG000044
Source: RNAcentral